AGAGUUUGAUUAUGGCUCAGGAUGAACGCUAGCGAUAGGCCUAACACAUGCAAGUCGAGGGGCAGCACAUGAAGUAGCAAUACGGAUGGUGGCGACCGGCGCACGGGUGAGUAACGCGUAUGCAACCUGCCUACAACAGGGGAAUAACCCGUUGAAAGACGGACUAAUACCCCAUAACACAGGGAUCCCGCAUGGGAAUAUUUGUUAAGGAUUUAUCGGUUGUAGAUGGGCAUGCGUUCCAUUAGCUGGUUGGUGAGGUAACGGCUCACCAAGGCAACGAUGGAUAGGGGAACUGAGAGGUCUAUCCCCCACACUGGUACUGAGACACGGACCAGACUCCUACGGGAGGCAGCAGUGAGGAAUAUUGGUCAAUGGACGCAAGUCUGAACCAGCCACGUCGCGUGAAGGAAGACGGCCCUACGGGUUGUAAACUUCUUUUGUAAGGGAAUAAAGUGCAGUACGUGUACUGUUUUGCAUGUACCUUACGAAUAAGGAUCGGCUAACUCCGUGCCAGCAGCCGCGGUAAUACGGAGGAUCCGAGCGUUAUCCGGAUUUAUUGGGUUUAAAGGGUGCGCAGGCGGGAGAUUAAGUCGGCGGUGAAAUUUUGCAGCUCAACUGUAAAAGUGCCUUCGAAACUGGUUUCCUUGAGUGUGGAUGAAGUAGGCGGAAUUUGUGGUGUAGCGGUGAAAUGCAUAGAUAUCACGAGGAACUCCGAUUGCGCAGGCAGCUUACUAAACCAUAACUGACGCUCACGCACGAAGGCGUGGGGAUCAGACAGGAUUAGAUACCCUGGUAGUC
This 798-nucleotide ribosomal RNA is filed under the name uncultured Proteiniphilum sp. RNAcentral's name for it is "bacterial SSU rRNA". It matches the Rfam family "Bacterial small subunit ribosomal RNA", at positions 8 to 795 of the family's 1533-position model. Lineage: Bacteria; Pseudomonadati; Bacteroidota; Bacteroidia; Bacteroidales; Dysgonomonadaceae. The record is from RNAcentral.